CGCACGGGUGAGUAACACGUAUCCAACCUGCCGUCUACUCUUGGACAGCCUUCUGAAAGGAAGAUUAAUACAAGAUGGCAUCAUGAGUCCGCAUGUUCACAUGAUUAAAGGUAUUCCGGUAGACGAUGGGGAUGCGUUCCAUUAGAUAGUAGGCGGGGUAACGGCCCACCUAGUCUUCGAUGGAUAGGGGUUCUGAGAGGAAGGUCCCCCACAUUGGAACUGAGACGCGGUCCAAACUCCUACGGGAGGCAGCAUG
RNAcentral lists this ribosomal RNA (256 nucleotides) under uncultured bacterium. RNAcentral's name for it is "partial 16S ribosomal RNA". It matches the Rfam family "Bacterial small subunit ribosomal RNA", at positions 99 to 353 of the family's 1533-position model. The record is from RNAcentral.